RNAcentral lists this transfer RNA (68 nucleotides) under Loxodonta africana (African savanna elephant). It matches the Rfam family "tRNA". From Rfam's summary of the family: Transfer RNA (tRNA) molecules are approximately 80 nucleotides in length. Their secondary structure includes four short double-helical elements and three loops (D, anti-codon, and T loops). Lineage: Eukaryota; Metazoa; Chordata; Mammalia; Proboscidea; Elephantidae. The record is from Rfam by way of RNAcentral.
GUCCCUGAGUGGUGCAAAUGGUUUGGCUGCUAACCAAAAGGUUGGAGGUUCAAGUCCACCCAGAGACG